AGAGUUUGAUCCUGGCUCAGGAUGAACGCUGGCGGCGUGCCUAAUACAUGCAAGUCGAACGCACAGCGAAAGGUGCUUGCACCUUUCAAGUGAGUGGCGAACGGGUGAGUAACACGUGGAUAACCUACCUCAAGGUUGGGGAUAACAUUUGGAAACAGAUGCUAAUACCGAAUAAAACUUCGUAUCGCAUGAUACAAGGUUAAAAGGCGCUACGGCGUCACCUAGAGAUGGAUCCGCGGUGCAUUAGUUAGUUGGUGGGGUAAAGGCCUACCAAGACAAUGAUGCAUAGCCGAGUUGAGAGACUGAUCGGCCACAUUGGGACUGAGACACGGCCCAAACUCCUACGGGAGGCUGCAGUAGGGAAUCUUCCACAAUGGGCGAAAGCCUGAUGGAGCAACGCCGCGUGUGUGAUGAAGGCUUUCGGGUCGUAAAGCACUGUUGUAUGGGAAGAACAGCUAGAGUAGGGAAUGACUUUAGUUUGACGGUACCAUACCAGAAAGGGACGGCUAAAUACGUGCCAGCAGCCGCGGUAGUACGUAUGUCCCGAGCGUUAUCCGGAUUUAUUGGGCGUAAAGCGAGCGCAGACGGUUGAUUAAGUCUGAUGUGAAAGCCCGGAGCUCAACUCCGGAAAGGCAUUGGAAACUGGUCAACUUGAGUGCAGUAGAGGUAAGUGGAACUCCAUGUGUAGCGGUGGAAUGCGUAGAUAUAUGGAAGAACACCAGCGGCGAAGGCGGCUUACUGGACUGUAACUGACGUUGAGGCUCGAAAGUGUGGGUAGCAAACAGGAUUAGAUACCCUGGUAGUCCACACCGUAAACGAUGAACACUAGGUGUUAGGAGGUUUCCGCCUCUUAGUGCCGAAGCUAACGCAUUAAGUGUUCCGCCUGGGGAGUACGACCGCAAGGUUGAAACUCAAAGGAAUUGACGGGGACCCGCACAAGCGGUGGAGCAUGUGGUUUAAUUCGAAGCAACGCGAAGGACCUUACCAGGUCUUGACAUCCUUUGAAGCUUUUAGAGAUAGAAGUGUUCUCUUCGGAGACAAAGUGACAGGUGGUGCAUGGUCGUCGUCAGCUCGUGUCGUGAGAUGUUGGGUUAAGUCCCGCAACGAGCGCAACCCUUAUUGUUAGUUGCCAGCAUUCAGAUGGGCACUCUAGCGAGACUGCCGGUGACAAACCGGAGGAAGGCGGGGACGACGUCAGAUCAUCAUGCCCCUUAUGACCUGGGCUACACACGUGCUACAAUGGCGUAUACAACGAGUUGCCAACCUGUGAAGGUGAGCUAAUCUCUUAAAGUACGUCUCAGUUCGGACUGCAGUCUGCAACUCGACUGCACGAAGUCGGAAUCGCUAGUAAUCGCGGAUCAGCACGCCGCGGUGAAUACGUUCCCGGGUCUUGCACACACCGCCCGUCA
Molecule: ribosomal RNA, 1409 nt
Filed under: uncultured bacterium
Lineage: Bacteria
Description: bacterial SSU rRNA
Rfam family: Bacterial small subunit ribosomal RNA
Source: RNAcentral